GUAGGGAAUAUUGGUUAAUGGGCGAAAGCCUGACCCAGCAACGCCGCGUGAACGAUGAAGGCCUUCGGGUUGUAAAGUUCUUUUUACAGGGAUGAGGAAGGACAGUACCUGUAGAAUAAGUCUCGGCUAACUACGUGCCAGCAGCCGCGGUAACACGUAGGAGACGAGCGUUAUCCGGAUUUACUGGGUGUAAAGCGCGUGCAGGCGGUAUGGUAAGUUGGAUGUGAAAGCUCCCGGCUUAACUGGGAGAGGUCGUACAAGACUGCCAAACUAGAGGACAGCAGAGGGGAGUGGAAUUCCGAGUGUAGCGGUAAAAUGCAUAGAUAUUCGGAAGAACACCAGUGGCGAAGGCGGCUCUCUGGGCUGUACCUGACGCUCAGACGCGAAAGCUAGGGUAGCAAACGGGAUUAGAAACCCCGGUAGUCC
This 426-nucleotide ribosomal RNA is filed under the name uncultured bacterium. RNAcentral describes it as "bacterial SSU rRNA". It matches the Rfam family "Bacterial small subunit ribosomal RNA", at positions 354 to 796 of the family's 1533-position model. The record is from RNAcentral.